Molecule: long non-coding RNA, 232 nt
Filed under: Brassica napus (rape)
Lineage: Eukaryota; Viridiplantae; Streptophyta; Magnoliopsida; Brassicales; Brassicaceae
Description: long non-coding RNA (BNAP_LNC022872)
Source: RNAcentral
GUGUUUUGUGAACAUAUCGGACUUGAUCUCUAUUGCUUGCUGUCACAUCUUGAUCCAAACGAGAUUUUAGGUAUCAAGAUCGAUCAGCAUAGGGGGCAGUUCCACGACAGUGGGCUGUUCUAUUUGAGUGAUCUGAGUUCUAUACUUGCUCUUAAUUAAACUUGAAUAAUUAUUUGGCUCACACUUGCUUAACACCCGAUCAAACCACCAUAGGCUAGCAUUUUUAAUCAUC